AGUAAGGUAGGAUAAUAUAAGUCUGUAAGGUUCAUACCCUUAAGGUGUUAAUCCCUUAUUA
RNAcentral lists this transfer RNA (61 nucleotides) under Heterorhabditis bacteriophora. RNAcentral describes it as "tRNA-Met". RNAcentral also lists the same sequence under 1 other name. The record is from RNAcentral. Lineage: Eukaryota; Metazoa; Nematoda; Chromadorea; Rhabditida; Heterorhabditidae.